RNAcentral lists this ribosomal RNA (258 nucleotides) under uncultured soil bacterium. Its description in RNAcentral is "partial 16S ribosomal RNA". It matches the Rfam family "Bacterial small subunit ribosomal RNA", at positions 26 to 285 of the family's 1533-position model. The record is from RNAcentral.
AGGACGAACGCUGGCGGCGUGCCUAACACAUGCAAGUCGAACGGGACCAGGGGCAACUCUGGUUCAGUGGCGGACGGGUGCGUAACACGUGAGGAACAUGACCUUCGGCGGGGGAUAGCCGGCCCAACGGCCGGGUAAUACCGCGUACGACCACAUGGGGACAUCCCUGAGUGGUGAAAGCAGCAAUGCGCCGAUGGAGUGCCUCGCGGCCUAUCAGCUAGUUGGUGAGGUAACGGCUCACCAAGGCGACGACGGGUA